RNAcentral lists this ribosomal RNA (492 nucleotides) under uncultured bacterium. RNAcentral describes it as "partial 16S ribosomal RNA". It matches the Rfam family "Bacterial small subunit ribosomal RNA", at positions 29 to 507 of the family's 1533-position model. The record is from RNAcentral.
AGUGAACGCUGGCGGUAGGCCUAACACAUGCAAGUCGAACGGCAGCACAGUAAGAGCCUGCUCUUACGGGUGGCGAGUGGCGGACGGGUGAGGAAUACAUCGGAAUCUACUUUUUCGUGGGGGAUAACGUAGGGAGACUUACGCUAAUACCGCAUACGACCUACGGGUGAAAGCAGGGGAUCUUCGGACCUUGCGCGAUUGAAUGAGCCGAUGUCGGAUUAGCUAGUUGGCGGGGUAAAGGCCCACCAAGGCGACGAUCCGUAGCUGGUCUGAGAGGAUGAUCAGCCACACUGGAACUGAGACACGGUCCAGACUCCUACGGGAGGCAGCAGUGGGGAAUAUUGGACAAUGGGCGCAAGCCUGAUCCAGCCAUACCGCGUGGGUGAAGAAGGCCUUCGGGUUGUAAAGCCCUUUUGUUGGGAAAGAAAAGCAGCAGGUUAAUACCCCGCUGUUCUGACGGUACCCAAAGAAUAAGCACCGGCUAACUUCGUG